This is a long non-coding RNA of Magnolia sinica, 759 nucleotides long. RefSeq lists it as uncharacterized. The transcript has 3 exons. Lineage: Eukaryota; Viridiplantae; Streptophyta; Magnoliopsida; Magnoliales; Magnoliaceae. The record is from RefSeq and is a predicted model, not a curated record.
CUCCUUUUGCGAUUUUUCUGUAAUCUCUCCACCUCUCUCCUCUCUUUCCUAUUUCUCUGGUAAUCUCUCUUCCAUCUCUUGCUAACCUCUCUCUCAGAUCUCCGGAAGCUUGAAGGACUACAGAAGAAUUAGAGUGACAAUGAGUGUACGAGGAGCCAAUGUUUUGCUCUCUAGAGCCAACAGAAUCAAGCAAAAGUUGCAAUCUGGACUGGAAGCCAGUGUUUUAGAAAUAGAAGAUGUUUCCUAUCAACAUGCUGGGCAUGCAGGUGUUAAGGGCGAUGCAAAUGAAACCCAUUUUAAUGUCAAGGUCGUCUCACCGAAAUUUGAAGGGCAGAGCCUUGUGAAACGCCAUCGGUUGGUGUAUGAUCUUUUGGCAGAUGAGCUGCAAUCUGGAUUGCAUGCUCUUUCUAUCACUGCAAAAACUCCGCAAGAAGCUGGAGGAUGUUAAGGGCCCAUUUGGAUACCAACCAAUAAGUAAUUGCAUGUUUCGGAUGUGACGAAAAAAUGGAAAUGGGUUCUGAGCCAAGCCGAUUGCUGUCCAGCCAGCUCGGGUUUUUUGGUUUUUUCAGAGGACUUCGUUCUCUAGUUUCUGUGACUGGCAUUUUGGUGGUUGAUUGUUCUACUUUGUUUUGGUAAAGAAGGCAUUUUCCUCCAUUAGCAGUGUAAUAUUUGAAUAUUUUGAAACAUGUUCUAUACACAUCCAUUUCCUUUUGUAUGCAUCAUCAAACUAGAAAGGAGGAAUUAUCUGAUUGUUGGAUU